CUCUGAUUUGAUACAACUUUGAUCAUGUAUUAUUUGUUGGUAAGAUAAGAUUGACAAGCAUCUUUCAAUCACCAGUAGAAGCUUGAAGGCAUGCAGGCUUUGCAAACCUCUUUGGUUCAUUAGUUGGGAUCAAAUCCAUCCAAUGAGUCCAAGCACACAGUCACAAGAGCAGAUGAUUCCAUAACACCAAUAACUCUGCUGUUUCUAAUAAUCUUCGGUGGCUUAUAUUGACUAGCUGGUGCUCCA
Molecule: unclassified non-coding RNA, 246 nt
Filed under: Hevea brasiliensis (rubber tree)
Lineage: Eukaryota; Viridiplantae; Streptophyta; Magnoliopsida; Malpighiales; Euphorbiaceae
Source: RNAcentral